RNAcentral lists this ribosomal RNA (444 nucleotides) under uncultured bacterium. RNAcentral's name for it is "bacterial SSU rRNA". It matches the Rfam family "Bacterial small subunit ribosomal RNA", at positions 355 to 796 of the family's 1533-position model. The record is from RNAcentral.
UAAGGAAUAUUGGUCAAUGGACGCAAGUCUGAACCAGCCAUGCCGCGUGGAGGAUGAAGGCCCUCUGGGUUGUAAACUUCUUUUAUUGGGGAAGAAACCGGUCUUUUCUAAAGCCGUUGACGGUACCCAUUGAAUAAGCACCGGCUAACUCCGUGCCAGCAGCCGCGGUAAUACGGAGGGUGCAAGCGUUAUCCGGAUUCACUGGGUUUAAAGGGUGCGUAGGUGGGUAGGUAAGUCAGUGGUGAAAUCUCCAAGCUUAACUUGGAAACUGCCGUUGAUACUAUUUAUCUUGAAUAUAGUGGAGGUGAGCGGAAUAUGUCAUGUAGCGGUGAAAUGCUUAGAUAUGACAUAGAACACCAAUUGCGAAGGCAGCUUGCUACACUAUUAUUGACACUGAGGCACGAAAGCGUGGGGAUCAAACAGGAUUAGAUACCCCCGUAGUCC